GGGAGGAAAGGGUCAAGAAGCCAGCUUGUUCAAAACAGAAAAAGCUGGUGGCUAAAAAGAGACAUUGGAUCCAGAGAGGAUCUCCCUGGGAUAUAAAAUUCUUUGUCACAUACAGGCACUGGAGAUGGAAGAUGCAGAAAUGAAAGAAAUGGCGGGGUGGAGAAAAAUCAGCACAGGGAGAGAAACUGAACUCAUACAGAAUCUCCCAUCACAGUAAGAACAAAGGAGGUGUGUACAAUGUGAGUGUGAGCACACUCAUGCUGUACUGUGCAUAUGGAUGUGGAGGUCAGAGAACAACGUUUCAGAGUCAGUUCCCUGAUAGCAGAUUCAAUGUCUUCAUCAGAGGAGCUCCAUGCAAGAGAUGGUGACUAACAGAGCCGCAACAGGACAACGUACAGAGGAGAGACUUUGGAGAACCCAACCCUAAAGAGUAUGUCUUCAUCAAACUCCUUCCCUCAAGGCUCAGGGAUCUGUGUAGAAGAGGAGGUAGAAAGACUUUUUUUGUUCUUUUGUUUUUCAAGAUAGGUUUUCUCUGUGUAGCCCUGGCUAUCCUGGAACUCACCCUGUAGAUUAGGCUAACCUCGAACUUGGAGAUCCCCACAAGUGCUGGGAUUAAAGGUGUGCACCGCUGCUGCUGCCACCACCACCACCACCACCACCACCAGCAGCAGCAGCAGCAGCAGCAGCAGCAGCAAAGUGGAAAGAUUUUUAGAGCCAGAAGUGGUCCUCCAAGGCAACAGUGUCAUCCGGAUAUAACAGAACCAAUCCAAUACACAACUGAACUCACAGACUGGGACAGCACACACGAAACCUGCACAGGUUAAAAUCCCAGCACAGGGAGGGGAAAUGGACACAAGGUCAUGCCCCUAAUCAAGAAGUUAUUUGUGACUGAAACCUGCUAGGAAAGGGACAAUGAGUUUUCUCCAAUGGAGGUCACUGGGUAUAGUCUAUCAACCAUCCUGGACAGGUUCCGUGCACAGGAGAAGCAAAGCAACACAGAAUGGACUCUGGGUUUUCUGAGCGUUUUACUUUGUUUUGAUUUUGAUUUUACUUUGUUUUUGAUUUUCGUUGUUUUCUUUUUGAGAGAGAGAUCAAAACAUAAAGUUAAGUGUGUAAUGAGAAGGAUCUGGGAGAAGCUGAAGGAAAGAAAAGAAAAUGAUUAAAAUAUAUUGUAUGAAAAACUUUAACAAAAACUAAGAGAAGGGGUUGGGGAUUUAGCUCAGCGGUAGAGCGCUUGCCUAGCAAGCGCAAGGCCCUGGGUUCAGUCCCCAGCUCCGGAAAAAAAAAAAAAAAGAAAGAAAGAAAAAAAAAAGAGAAAAAAAAACUAAGAGAAGUAAAGAUGUUCAAAUGGGCUAAGAAUGUAGCUCAGCAGUACAGUGCUCUUUAAGAAAUAGUAAAGAUGAGUAGAGCUAUUGACAUAUCUGUAAGAUGAGAAACUGAAAGGUGGAGACAGGAGUACACAGAGUUUGAAGUCAGCCUCAGUAACACAGCAAGACUGACUUAGAAGUGAUAAACUUUGAAAAUAUGGAUUGGAAAUAUUUUCUGGCCUGGGAAGGCAAGCUAUGAACUGCAUACACAAUCUAGUCACAUCUACACAACACGAAACAUGAGGAUAAGGGGGAACACCUAGUAUCGUAUCUAAUAACAACGCCAUGGUCUGUUUUAUUCCUUUCCAAUUUUCUUCAGCAUGGCCAUCUUAUUUUGGUAACACUCAAGUUGAGCAUGGUAGGUCAUCUUUAUAAUCUCAGCACUCAAAAAUAGAUAAAGAAAGCAGGGAAGUUUUGACUUCAAGACCAGCCUGUGCUAUACAUAACCCAGUCAAUAAAGCAAAGCAAAACAAUAAAAAAAAAAAAAAGGUGUGUGUGUGUGUGUGUGUGUGUGUGUGUGUGUGUGUGUGUGUGUGUUUAUGUAACACAACACGCACUGUAGAGCUCAAGGGACAACUUGCAGGAGUCAGUUCUCUUUCUACCAUGUGGAUCCCAGGGAUUGAACUCAAGUUGUCAGGGAGGCUUCAUUUCAGGUGCCUGUAUCUGCUGAGCCAUCUCACCACCACGCCUCAAAACAAUAAAGUUCUGAUAAAGUUUAAGGCACUGAACUGAGAGUGUGGUGAAGUAUGCCUUUAUUUCCAGCACUUAGGAGGCAGAGGCAGGAACCACCCUGUCAGGUCCAUGCUGGCCAGGACUACAUAGUACGACCUGUCUCAAUUUUUUAAAACCACCAAAUUUCUUUGCUAGUUGAGUGCUCUACAAACACUAGUUCUCAAGGCACUAAUCUGGGAAAUAAACAAGGGCUCUGUUCAUAGACGCAUGUGUGUGCGUGCGCUAUUUUAUACCCAGUAAAUUAAACAGUUAUCAGGGAAAUCCUUUUAUAAAGUUACCUUCAGAGCACAGAAGGUGAAGAUACAGUCAAGUCAACACCUGGCUAUCCUGCCCACACCCACACAUUAUAACCCAAACCUCAACCACCCUAAAAACAGCUCCAUCAGUUAAGACAAGUCUUCUUUCUAAAGGAUCUUACCCAACUCACCUAUGUAAUCCGGGUAUGUACCAUAGGCAAACAGGUUCAGCAACUGCAAAUAUGCAGCAUUAGCUCCUUCUGCAAGCUGAGGGAAGAAACGUUCAGUUCACCACACAACAAAUUUCUGCCAACCACGAUGAUAUUCUAAUGGAGGACAUGUGACCAAAUGCCAGAGAUGUCAUGGCCAUUUUUUCUGUAUUAUUUGAUUAGGUAGUCUCUAAGGCUCUUUUCAACUCUGAUUCUUGGAGAAAAACUUAAAGGAUUAUUUAAGUUCAAAAGUGAACCUUCCUUCCUCAGGAAGACAUUUUGCCCAACAUACAAGAUGCUCAAGGAGCUUCCCCCUUCCCUCUCUCCCUGUCCCUUUGCUUUCCGUUCACUCCACCACAAAGAGGCAGUUCAAGUUUUUUUCAGAUCUCCCCUGCCUUAGAACAAAUACUGAUGGCUGGGAGAAUCUUGCAGAGCCUGCAUUUAGAGCUAGGUUCAGUCUCAGCACUGCAUAAACCGGGCAUGGUGGCUCAUGCCUGUAAUUCCUCAGGAGGUGGAUACACAAGGGUCAGGAGUUCAAAGCCAUCCUCAGCUACAUACUGAGUUCAAAACCAGAUUGGACUACUUGAAAAGACUCCUGUCUCUAACAAGAAAACAAGAGUGUGUGAUCCUGACUAUAUACCAACUCUGUAUGAUUUUUGCUUAUUUGUUUUAUUGUUGUUGCAGAAUGUGUGUAUAUGUGUAUGUGUGCUCCUGUAUGUAGUGAACAUGUGUAGAAUCACAGACAACUCUGUGAAGUCCGUUUUCUUCUUCCAACUUUAUGAAGGUUCUCUGAAGAUCAAACUCUGGUCAUCAAGCUGAUAUGGCACCUUUAGUCACUCAGCCUUCUUGUCAACCCUAAACCUAAUAUGUUAACACCUACUAUCAAUCACAUCUGAACAAACUGUAUGGCUAGUUCCAAGUUUUGGUGCUAUAUAUGAACUAUAAAACCUGGAAAUAUUAACACAAUGUAAGGUGCGACAGAAAAGCAAUACUGUAACAGAAUUAUCAGCCUGAGUAAAAUAAAAAUGUUCGUUAAAUUA
This is a long non-coding RNA of Rattus norvegicus (Norway rat), 3584 nucleotides long. RefSeq lists it as uncharacterized. The record is from RefSeq and is a predicted model, not a curated record. Lineage: Eukaryota; Metazoa; Chordata; Mammalia; Rodentia; Muridae.